CGGUAGCAGCGGCCGCAGUAUCAGUAUCCACCUCUACUCUAUAGAAAAGCCCCACGGCUAACGAAAGCAGCGCACAACAUAGCAAACGGUCGAUCGAUCGACCGACCGACCAACCAACCAACCAACCUACUGGUCAGCUGACGACUCUUUGGCCUUGAGCGAGCGCAUCAUCGUCCUCCCUUCAUGGUGUCGUUCUUGAGCUAGUCUACCGUACGCUGCAAAGCGCGCAAGUGGAGUGCUCUCGUGUGCGGGCUCUUAGCUACUCCCAGUGUGAUCUAAUUACGCCAUUGUAGGUCGCCAUACUUGGAUCUCGUGUGGAUACAACAGCAAAGGCUUUGGUUUAUUGACGUCGUAGGGGAACGCGUGUGCCGGAGGAAGUGUUACGAUUAUAACUGCAGUAAGCUACAAAAACAGACUCCACUAACUGGCGUGAAUGAAUAUUGGGGCAAUAGCGGUUAGGUGAGCGCAACAGCUGACGUGGACUUAAAACGAGAUUCAGGCAAAGAAGGCUUCUGCGCUGCGCAGCUGUUAACGAUGACGACUGAAGAUGAAGUUCAGCGGCGGGCUCGAGCUUUCGUCAAAGACCUGCUUAAUGAGGCGAUAAAGGAAGUGAAGAGAUGCAACACUGAACGAGCCAGUUGUAAACGGGACGAGAGUAACUACGAAAAAGAAGCUCCGGUCGAGGGUCACUGGUAUAAACGACUACGUAGUCAACUUUGCACGUGUGUUCGGCCUCAGGAGCACUAGCUAGAUGCUGGUGCGCCCACAUAAAUUAACUAGAGAUAAUUUCUGUCUUAUUUUAAUAACUACAUGCCAAGUGAAUUGUUGUGGGCUUAUGUGAAUAAAGUCGCGUCGAUACUUGCUUUGGAAUAAUAAAAAUGAGCGGAUCUUCUAAAUCGGUACGUUGGAUGCCGUCCUAAGCAUUUCAACACAAACCGAUCUAUUAUGAGUUCCUUACAUGUCGAGCGACAGCCUUAGUAACUUCCCAAUGACAUCCCACAUUGAGCUCAGCUGCGAUCUGCUUUGUUAAAACCCUAGACAUAAAAACAAAAUAAGAAUGGCUAUUUUUCCUAUGUUCACAAUUUACACUUAGCAAAGCCUCAGUUGCCACUCUACCGGGUAUUUGUUAAUACCAGAAGUUACUCUCCAGGAAUUUUCACUAUGCUUAGCUUGCAAAUUACCACACGUUCUAGCUGAACUAUAUCCACCCGUAUGUGGAUGCUGAGAAAUACUUGA
Molecule: long non-coding RNA, 1236 nt
Organism: Varroa destructor (honeybee mite)
Lineage: Eukaryota; Metazoa; Arthropoda; Arachnida; Mesostigmata; Varroidae
Source: RefSeq, a predicted model, not a curated record